Molecule: ribosomal RNA, 494 nt
Filed under: Cominella maculosa
Lineage: Eukaryota; Metazoa; Mollusca; Gastropoda; Neogastropoda; Buccinidae
Description: partial 16S ribosomal RNA
Rfam family: Bacterial large subunit ribosomal RNA
Source: RNAcentral
AAACAUGGCUCCUUGUCUUNUAGUAUAUAGGGAGUCGGACCUGCCCGGUGAAAUUUUUUAACGGCCGCGGUACUCUGACCGUGCAAAGGUAGCAUAAUCAUUUGCCUUAUAAUUGAAGGCUAGUAUGAAUGGUUUGACAAGAAUAUAGCUGUCUCUUCCUGAUUAAAUAGAAUUUUAUUUACAGGUGAAGAAGCCUGUAUUAAAUUAAAAGACAAGAAGACCCUAUCGAGCUUUAAAAAAAUUAAUAGAUANAAACAAUCAAUANUAAUUAAAAGAUUAGCUAUUAAAAAUUUUAGUUGGGGCGACUGAGGAACAAGAAAAGCUUCCUUUAUANAAGUAAAANUCAUACAAGCACUGAUCCAGAAUAUUCUGAUUAAAGGAAUUAGUUACCGUAGGGAUAACAGCAUUAUCUUCUYUAAGAGCCCUUAUCGAAAAGAAGGUUUGUGACCUCGAUKUUGGACCAGAAUAUCCUAAAGAUGCAGCAGUCUUAAGGG